This 490-nucleotide ribosomal RNA is filed under the name Sphaerodorum flavum. Its description in RNAcentral is "partial 16S ribosomal RNA". The stretch from base 355 to 490 matches the Rfam family "Bacterial large subunit ribosomal RNA", at positions 2473 to 2609 of the family's 2925-position model. Lineage: Eukaryota; Metazoa; Annelida; Polychaeta; Phyllodocida; Sphaerodoridae. The record is from RNAcentral.
UAAGAAUUAUAAUUUAAGAUAUAUUCUGCUCAAUGAUUUUAUAUUAAAUAGCUGCAGUAUAUUGACUGUACAAAGGUAGCAUAAUAGAUUGCCUAUUAAUUGUAGGCUGGAAUGAAUGGAUGAACGAAAUUAAUUCUGUUUCUAAUAUAUUUAUAUAAUUUAAUAUUUUAGUGAAGAAGCUAUAAUUUUAUUAAAAGACAGUGAGACCCUUAGAGCUAUUAUUUAUAUUUAAUAUAAUUAUAUAAAUUAGAUUUUGACUGGGGUGGUUUUGGAAUAUUUUUAACUUCCAAUUAUUAUAUGAUUUUUAUAUCUAUAAAUUUGAUCUUUUAUAAGUUUAAGAUUAGUUACCUAAGGGAUAACAGAUUAAUUUUUUUGUAGAGUUCUUAUUGAUAAAAAAGAUUAAUACCUCGAUGUUGGCUUAAAAUUUCCUUUAGAUGAAGAAGUUUAUAGGGUUGGUUUGUUCAACCAUUAAAAUUUUACGUGAUCUGAG